Molecule: long non-coding RNA, 244 nt
Organism: Arabidopsis lyrata subsp. lyrata
Lineage: Eukaryota; Viridiplantae; Streptophyta; Magnoliopsida; Brassicales; Brassicaceae
Exons: 2
Source: RefSeq, a predicted model, not a curated record
AGUACAUUGCAGGAAGUUUUUAUUCUCCAAUUAAGUCGAGAUUGAAAAGUCAAGCUGGGGAUUUGAUUUGACGAUUUUGUCGACAACUUGAUUGAGAUGGAAGUUCAGUUGCAAGGAAGAAAUAAUUUGUGUGGGUAGUUAUCUAUUUCUUUUAAAUGGUGGUUUGAUGCUUAUAUUAUCUUGAAAUCUUCAAAUGUGUUUGUCUUUCUACUUCGAUUGAUUUGAUCAAAUUAGGUGAUGGAUC